UGAAAAGUUAGGACUGCAAAGCUUCCAUGAGAGACCAGAAGUGAUCAGAUAUCAGAAGAGCUAUAUUAGUGGCAAAUAGACACACUUGAAGUGCAACUACAGAGAGAUCACAAUUUGAGGCAGACAAUUGUUUUCAACUAAUGCUUAGAGAUGGAGAUUUAACUCUUGAACAGUUGCUGCAUAAUGCUCAAGAACACAAUUAGGAUCAGAACCUCGUCAUGCCAGGUGCUGACAAACACACAGGAAGAUGCAGCCCUUCUGCAAAAGAGCUUACAAUUUAAGGUUUAGGCCAGCCACAUAACUGAAGGAACAAGAGGGUGAAAGAGAACUACAAAUGAAGUAUUAGACGUUUCAGCGAGAGAGGGCCUAAUUGCCCAUGUUUCUCCUGUAAUAAAAAACAGAAAUCUGAUAAAUGGAAGGUGGAUCAAGGCUCCUCUUGCAGGAUUAAAAUAGCCAGCAGCCCAACUACGGAUCCGAUGACGGAAUCCAGUACCAUGCAUAGAAGACACCAGCUCUUUGCUGGUUAUGUUGUGGGUUCUGCUAUGGACUACCUGCAUUUAAAUGAGUGAAUGAAUUCUAAAGAAAUAUCUAUAGUGCCUCAGUAGGGAAUAGUGUGUCCAAAAGACAUGCACACAGGGCAGCACAUGUGGCAGUGAACUCUGGUAUACCUCAACAAAGAGAGCUAGGAGAAAGAAGGGCAGACCAAACAUGUUACAGAAAAAAAGCAGAAUUUGACCUGCUUACACGAAUCCACUUCUAAUUCAGUAUAUUCAAAAGUAGCUGUCAUGGAAGCAUUUAUAACAAUAAGGGGCAUCCUCCUGUCCUUCCUACAUAGAAUAGAAUGAAGGCACACAUUGAAAAAACUCCAGCUAGUACAAAAUGCAACAGCCAGAUUGAUUAGCUACAGGAUUCUGAACAGAUCACCCUGGUGCUUCGUUCCCUGUACUCAACGAAGAGCCAACAGAAAUUACAAUUCAGUGCGUCUGUCCUGACUCUCUCAGCCCUCCAUGGGAGGAAAAUGAUUCUUAAUAAUUACACUCACCUGUAACAAACACUUAAAGCUUGGGCUCACAUAUAGAAAAGACUGCAGAUGUGUCUGUGGUUAUUUUGUGAUAUUUCCAUACAUCAUCUUUUAAAAUAAAGUGGAAACCAUCUCCAAAAUUCAUCUUUUCCACUCCAUUCUUACUAUUUAGAUCUUUGCAUGGGCCCCAAAUCUCUAAACUUGUCCCUAUCAUUGAAAUGAUUGCAAGAGCAUCAUUUAUCUUGGCCCACAAUCCCAAUCACAUCUAGCCCCUCCCCAAAUCCUUCAGUCAUUUUUCCUUACCUCGACACCCACUUGAAAACCUUCAUUCUUGCCCUCAAAUUAUUGUACAAUUUCAUAUCAGUAUCCUAAGUACUUGUUUUUUAUCCUCUCUUUUGCUCCCUAUACUACUCUUGGGGGAAU
Trachemys scripta elegans is the source of this 1444-nucleotide long non-coding RNA. RefSeq lists it as uncharacterized. The transcript is spliced from 3 exons. The record is from RefSeq and is a predicted model, not a curated record. Lineage: Eukaryota; Metazoa; Chordata; Testudines; Emydidae.